GACGAACGCUGGCGGCGUGCUUAACACAUGCAAGUCGAACGGAAAGGCCCUGCUUUUGUGGGGUGCUCGAGUGGCGAACGGGUGAGUAACACGUGAGUAACCUGCCCUUGACUUUGGGAUAACUUCAGGAAACUGGGGCUAAUACCGGAUAGGAGCUCCUGCUGAAUGGUGGGGGUUGGAAAGUUUCGGCGGUUGGGGAUGGACUCGCGGCUUAUCAGCUUGUUGGUGGGGUAGUGGCUUACCAAGGCUUUGACGGGUAGCCGGCCUGAGAGGGUGACCGGCCACAUUGGGACUGAGAUACGGCCCAGACUCCUACGGGAGGCAGCAGUGGGGAAUAUUGCACAAUGGGCGGAAGCCUGAGGCAGCAACGCCGCGUGCGGGAUGACGGCCUUCGGGUUGUAAACCGCUUUCGCCUGUGACGGAGCGUGAGUGACGGUAAUGGGUAAAGAAGCACCGGCUAACUACGUG
This 468-nucleotide ribosomal RNA is filed under the name uncultured bacterium. Its description in RNAcentral is "partial 16S ribosomal RNA". It matches the Rfam family "Bacterial small subunit ribosomal RNA", at positions 28 to 507 of the family's 1533-position model. The record is from RNAcentral.